GGUCUAACCAAACCACGUAUGCUCGACAAAAUGGUGGCAAUUAUAACUUCUUACUAGAUUAUGAUGGAAAUGCUCUACCAUUUGAAGAAAGAUUCUGGGAUGAUUUAUUUAAAUACAGUAGGACCUGGGGAUUGAUUGUCUAUGAGCAGGACUUUAUGUACAUGAACACCGAUUCGAUCAACGAAACGGUAUCUGAUGUUAUUUCUGCCAAAACAUGGAUGAUGGAAAUGGGUAAUGCUGCUAAGAAGAAUGGUUUAACUCUUCAAUAUUGUAUGGAAUAUCCUCGACAUGUUAUGCAAUCUCUAGAAAUACCCGUUGUUACACAGGCUCGUGUAAUGGAAGAUAAUGUUCCAGGGUCUGAUCACUGGAGGAUUGGCUAUUCGUCUAUUUUUGCUGAAGCCAUGGGAUUGGCUCCUUAUAAAGACAACUUCUGGACAACAACUGAACAGUCUGGUAAUCCAUAUAAUGGUAGCGAACCAAACACAGCAUUACAAUCAAUGAUAGCAACAAUGAGCACUGGACCAGUUGGACCAAGUGAUAAGAUUGGUACAACUAACGUCACGCUUCUUCUAAGGUGCUGUAAUGCAGAAGGAUUGAUUUUAAAACCAGCCGUUCCUUUUACAGCCAUCAAUAAACAAAUUCAACAGAUGGCGUUUGGAAAUAAUUUUGGUCCUGAUGGAGAUCUGUACACGACCUAUUCUGAUAUAUCUGGAUAUAAAUUUGGAGCAAUCUCAGCUGCCAACAUGAAGAGUGGUUAUUCAUUAUCU
Patella vulgata (common limpet) is the source of this 767-nucleotide long non-coding RNA. RefSeq lists it as uncharacterized. The transcript has 7 exons. The record is from RefSeq and is a predicted model, not a curated record. NCBI's taxonomy places the organism in Eukaryota, Metazoa, Mollusca, Gastropoda, Patellidae.